GACGAACGCUGGCGGCGUGCUUAACACAUGCAAGUCGAACGAAGUGGCGAACGGGUGAGUAACGCGUAAUCAACCUGCCCUUCAGAGGGGGACAACAGUUGGAAACGACUGCUAAUACCGCAUACUGAAGGAGGGGAUUGCGUCUGAUUAGCUAGUUGGAGGGGGAACGGCCCACCAAGUCUAUGAUCCGUAGCCGGUCUGAGAGGAGGAACGGCCACAUGGGGACUGAGACACGGCCCAGACUCCGACGGGAGGCAGCAGGGGGGAAGCUGCCGCAAUGGACGAAAGUCUGACGGAGCAACGCCGCGUGAGUGAUGACGGCCUUCGGGUUGUAAAGCUCUGUUAAUCGGGACGCGGUACCGGAAUAGAAAGCCACGGCUAACUACGUGCCAGCAGCCGCGGUAAUAC
This 408-nucleotide ribosomal RNA is filed under the name uncultured bacterium. RNAcentral's name for it is "partial 16S ribosomal RNA". It matches the Rfam family "Bacterial small subunit ribosomal RNA", at positions 28 to 526 of the family's 1533-position model. The record is from RNAcentral.